GAUUCUCUAGUUUUAAAAAAUAAAUUUUGAUUUAUUUUAGUCUUCCGCUGUAUGAUCUUGAAAAAGUUUCAAGAUCUAACCCUGAAACCCUAGAUAUGGUUCCUUCAACCAAUCCAACAUAACUCAAGAAUACAUACUGAUACAGAUAUUCUACCAUCAAUGUAUCCUCCCACUCUUAGGUCUAAUCUUUCUCCAAAGAUCAAAAAUAAAUGCUUAGUAUUUCUCAAAUACUUAAGGAUAUUUUUCACAGCAAUCCAGUACUCUCAGCCUGGAUUCGAUAAUUAUUUGCUCGUGACUCUCACAGCAAGAUAUAUGAAAUUGAGUACAUAGCAUGGCAUACACUUAUGUCCUAGAAGAUAACGGAUCUCUCUUGGAGGUUUCUAUGCUGAACCCUUUCAGUACCUUUUCUAUGUACUUGUCUAUGAAAAAUCAAAUAUCCUUUAAGAUCUAUUUUAUAGACCUUCAUUCCUAGAAUAUAGGAUGUUUGUACUAAGUCUUUGAUGAAAAUUCUAUAUGUAACUGCAUCAUAACCGAUGUUAACCUCCCACUGACCUUCAUGUAAACACAUGAUUCCUCCUCACUUUUGAUAAAAUCAAACAAUUUGAUUACAUCAUUAAAACAACUUAAUUUGACUCUGAAACUUUUGCUUAAAUCCAUAAAUAAAUUUUUACAGUGUGAUCUUUAUC
RNAcentral lists this long non-coding RNA (686 nucleotides) under Elaeis guineensis (African oil palm). Its description in RNAcentral is "long non-coding RNA (EGUI_LNC055742)". Lineage: Eukaryota; Viridiplantae; Streptophyta; Magnoliopsida; Arecales; Arecaceae. The record is from RNAcentral.